RNAcentral lists this long non-coding RNA (227 nucleotides) under Prunus persica (peach). RNAcentral describes it as "long non-coding RNA (PPER_LNC006384)". Lineage: Eukaryota; Viridiplantae; Streptophyta; Magnoliopsida; Rosales; Rosaceae. The record is from RNAcentral.
GAGAAUCACAUAUACACAUUAUCAUCUAGAUUUAGGUCAGAUUCUUGAAUCAAUUUCUUCAAGAAUGGUUUCUUGAAGAAAUCGAUUCAUUCUUUACUCAAAUCUACAUUUCAUUAAUCUGUUAUCUAGAGUUGUGUAAGCCGGUGCCUUGGGAUGAACAAGCUGAAGAGGAAGCUAUCAUUGCCAUGAAGGACUAGCUGCAAGCUUUGCUAAGUUGGAAAUUAAGG